This 689-nucleotide ribosomal RNA is filed under the name uncultured bacterium. RNAcentral describes it as "bacterial SSU rRNA". It matches the Rfam family "Bacterial small subunit ribosomal RNA", at positions 82 to 803 of the family's 1533-position model. The record is from RNAcentral.
AUACCUGAGUAAAGUGGCGCACGGGUGAGUAACACGUGACUAACCUACCCUGGAGUGGGGGAUAACUGAGGGAAACCUUAGCUAAUACCGCAUAAUACUUACGGGUCAAAGGAGCAAUUCGCUUCAGGAGGGGGUCGCGGCCGAUUAGUUAGUUGGCGGGGUAAUGGCCCACCAAGACAGUGAUCGGUAUCCGGCCUGAGAGGGCGCACGGACACACUGGAACUGAAACACGGUCCAGACUCCUACGGGAGGCAGCAGUGGGGAAUUUUGCGCAAUGGGGGAAACCCUGACGCAGCAACGCCGCGUGGAGGAUGAAGUCCUUCGGGACGUAAACUCCUUUCGAUCGGGACGAUUAUGACGGUACCGGAAGAAGAAGCCCCGGCUAACUUCGUGCCAGCAGCCGCGGUAAUACGAGGGGGGCGAGCGUUGUUCGGAAUUAUUGGGCGUAAAGGGUGCGUAGGCGGUUUUGUAAGUCUUAUGUGAAAUCUAUGGGCUCAACUCAUAGACUGCAUGAGAAACUGCAGGGCUUGAGUAUGGGAGAGGUGAGUGGAAUUCCUGGUGUAGCGGUGAAAUGCGUAGAUAUCAGGAGGAACACCUGUGGCGAAAGCGGCUCACUGGACCAUAACUGACGCUGAUGCACGAAAGCUAGGGGAGCAAACAGGAUUAGAUACCCUGGUAGUCCUAGCCCU